AUCAGUUAUCUCCUUUCAUCGAACACCACAGACAUGAACACAACACAACUACCCAGAGACCCAUGGGCGACACAGUGACUCUCUACAGGAGUGAGGGAGUGUCAGGAAACUCAAAGGAAGAGGUGCUUUGAAAAACCAGGAGAGGUUACCCAACUGCAGCAUCCUCUGACAGAUUAAGGUAUGCCAGGGGGGUCAGAGGCUAACAUAAGACCACUGUUGCCCUGGAGAGCUUCUCACUCCACUGGAGAAAACUGCAGGAAUUCAGCAGCUAAUAGCAGAAAUGGACUUGAAUCCAAUAAGUGUGGCAGAGUUAAAAGAAUAAUACCCGGGCUUGAAAUGGCUUAGCAUGCCUCUUGGAAAGCCAAGAUGUCAUGCCAACUCUGUUUGCAUUGGGCGAAGGAUUUGAUUCUGGUACCUCAGUGCUAGGUAGCUCAAGAGGCCCUGGGCUGGGCUGGAGAUGGGGAGAAUUCUAUGCGGCUCCUGGAGAUUUCUAGCAACAAUGUGUCAUCCAGAUGCCACAUGAUACAAAGAAGAGACAAAGGUAUCAAAGGCCACCAUUCCAGGAGUUAAGAUAUGAGCAGCAAGACACCAUCCUCUAAGAAUAAGAGAUGUUUGCUGGGUGACCCCUAAAGAGACCAGACUUAGAUGAAGGGUCAACACAUGGAAGCUCCCUAAGGAAGUCAGCUUACUGCAUACGCCCUACGUAUCCCUCUUUCUCCCUAUGUGACAAGACCUCAGAGGGCUCCCUACGACCCUUCUCCAGUGUGCUCUGUAGACUAUGGAAGACGAUCCAUGGAAAAGCAGCAAGCAGCUGAAAGCAAUAAACCAACUGCCACAGCUGGGCUAGGUUUGGAUGUUCUCAAAGUCCCCUGACUCUUUCACUUACUGAGAACUAGAAAUCAGGAUAAGUGAAGAUUUGGCCUCAGCAGAGACUGAAAUGAGGUGUUCCACAUGUGCCUGCUGUUGUGGUUUUGACUGGAAGGAAGAGGAGCAUGGGCAAAGAGGAGAGAACCAAGGAAACUCAAGAUGAACCCUGGAAUUCCCCUCAGAGAGGGGAAGAUGCUGUGCAAUGAUUCUCUAACUGCAUAAGGAAAGAGGGUUCCAGAGGAUCCUGAAAACUCAAGAAGAGUAACAACUCACCAAACAAGAUCCAAGUAAGGGGGAAGAAACUCAGGACUGCAAAACACCUGGAGGGAGAGAGGAAACACCCUCAAGGAUGGGCACUGCACAGACUGUAACAACAAGGAACGUGGCUUUGCAUCCUCCCAGCAACAAAGUCUACCACGGAUCCCACCCCACUCUGAUUUCGGCUCAGCCGAGAACUUGAAAUAACGGGCCCACUGCCUCUGGUCCACGAGGAUCCAUGCCAUCAUGGCACUUUGGGAGGCCUGUCACGAGUUACACAGGCCUAGGCUGCCCACACCCCAGCUCAGCAGAAAAAGAGAACUGCAAUCCAAGUCAGACAGAUCCUGCCUGGACUCUCCGCAGAGAGCCUGGAGAGUCUGACCAGCAAAGAAACAGCAAUCUUCCUACCUACCCCACUCUCAAUCCCCCCCACCCCAAUCCAGGCUCCCGAAGAAGAAAAACAAACAACAACAGAGCAGGCAAUUGCACAAGAGCUGCAGAGUGAAGGCGAGGUGGACGGCAACGGCUUCUCGGCUGUGCCCCGUAUCUCUUCCCAGAACACUGAUGACAAAGCUGGAGACGUUACUCACAUGCUGAGCCAGUCAGCCCCUCACCCAGGGCUGGUGCUGAGAAGUCUGACUAGAAACCGGCAGUCAACGCUGACACACUCAUUUAUAAUAAAAGGUGUAUAUUAA
This 1820-nucleotide long non-coding RNA is filed under the name Homo sapiens (human). RNAcentral's name for it is "long non-coding RNA NONHSAT174760.1". The record is from RNAcentral. Lineage: Eukaryota; Metazoa; Chordata; Mammalia; Primates; Hominidae.